GACGAACGCUGGCGGCGUGCUUAACACAUGCAAGUCGAACGGAAAGGCCCUGCUUUUGUGGGGUGCUCGAGUGGCGAACGGGUGAGUAACACGUGAGUAACCUGCCCUUGACUUUGGGAUAACUUCAGGAAACUGGGGCUAAUACCGGGUAGGAGCUCCUGCUGCAUGGGGGGGGUUGGAAAGUUUCGGCGGUUGGGGAUGGACUCGCGGCUUAUCAGCUGGUUGGUGAGGUAGUGGUUUACCAAGCGUUUGACGGGUAGCCGGCCUGGGAGGGUGGCCGGCCACAUUGGGACUGAGAUACGGCCCAGAAGCCUACGGGAGGCAGUGGUGGAGAAUAUUACACAAUGGGCGGAAGCCUGAUACAGCAACGUCGCGUGCGUGAUGACGGCCUUCGGGUUGUAAACCGCUUUCUCCUGUGACGAAGCGUGAGUGACGGUAAUGGGUAAAGAAGCACCGGCUAACUACGUG
Molecule: ribosomal RNA, 468 nt
Filed under: uncultured bacterium
Lineage: Bacteria
Description: partial 16S ribosomal RNA
Rfam family: Bacterial small subunit ribosomal RNA
Source: RNAcentral